AAUCAACGCUGGCGGCGUGCCUCAGACAUGCAAGUCGAACGAUUAAAGCUCUCUUCGGAGAGUGUAUAGAGUGGCGCACGGGUGAGUAACACGUAAGUAAUCUACCCCUCGAGUGGGGAAUAACAACCGGAAACGGUUGCUAAUACCGCAUAAUGCAGCGGCACCGCAAGGUGACAGUUGUUAAAGAUUUAUCGCUUGAGGAGGAGCUUGCGGCAGAUUAGCUAGUUGGUAGGGUAACGGCGUUACCAAGGCUACGAUCUGUAACCGGUCUAAGAGGACGGUCGGUCACACUGACACUGAAUAACGGGUCAGACUCCUACGGGAGGCAGCAGUCGGGAAUUUUGGGCAAUGGGCGAAAGCCUGACCCAGCAACGCCGCGUGAAGGAUGAAGUAUUCGGUAUGUAAACUUCGAAAGAAUAGGAAGAAUUAAUGACGGUACUAUUUAUAAGGUCCGGCUAACUAACGUGCCAGCAGCCGCGGU
Molecule: ribosomal RNA, 481 nt
Filed under: uncultured bacterium
Lineage: Bacteria
Description: bacterial SSU rRNA
Rfam family: Bacterial small subunit ribosomal RNA
Source: RNAcentral